RNAcentral lists this ribosomal RNA (773 nucleotides) under uncultured bacterium. RNAcentral's name for it is "bacterial SSU rRNA". It matches the Rfam family "Bacterial small subunit ribosomal RNA", at positions 8 to 798 of the family's 1533-position model. The record is from RNAcentral.
AGAGUUUGAUCAUGGCUCAGGACGAACGCUGGCGGCGUGCUUAACACAUGCAAGUCGAACGGAAAGGCCCUUCGGGGUACUCGAGUGGCGAACGGGUGAGUAACACGUGGGUGAUCUGCCCUGCACUUUGGGAUAAGCCUGGGAAACUGGGUCUAAUACCGAAUAGGACCGCGCGCUUCAUGGUGUGUGGUGGAAAGCUUUUGCGGUGUGGGAUGGGCCCGCGGCCUAUCAGCUUGUUGGUGGGGUAAUGGCCUACCAAGGCGACGACGGGUAGCCGGCCUGAGAGGGUGACCGGCCACACUGGGACUGAGAUACGGCCCAGACUCCUACGGGAGGCAGCAGUGGGGAAUAUUGCACAAUGGGCGCAAGCCUGAUGCAGCGACGCCGCGUGAGGGAUGACGGCCUUCGGGUUGCAAACCUCUUUCAAUAGGGACGAAGCGCAAGUGACGGUACCUAUAGAAGAAGCACCGGCCAACUACGUGCCAGCAGCCGCGGUAAUACGUAGGGUGCGAGCGUUGUCCGGAAUUACUGGGCGUAAAGAGCUCGUAGGUGGUUUGUCGCGUUGUUCGUGAAAACUCACAGCUUAACUGUGGGCGUGCGGGCGAUACGGGCAGACUAGAGUACUGCAGGGGAGACUGGAAUUCCUGGUGUAGCGGUGGAAUGCGCAAAUAUCAGGAGGAACACCGGUGGCGAAGGCGGGUCUCUGGGCAGUAACUGACGCUGAGGAGCGAAAGCGUGGGGAGCGAACAGGAUUAGAUACCCUGGUAGUCCAA